GACAAAAUGUCUGAAUUUUAGGUUGUAAAUUGUAAAUUUAUAUAUGAGUGUUUAUCUCUUUUGUCA
RNAcentral lists this transfer RNA (66 nucleotides) under Perittopus sp. HL-2012. RNAcentral's name for it is "tRNA-Tyr". Lineage: Eukaryota; Metazoa; Arthropoda; Insecta; Hemiptera; Veliidae. The record is from RNAcentral.